UCAGGAGCCCGCCUGGAGAAUGGAGGCUGAUUUAUUUUUAAGAAGUUGAAGAAGUCAGGAGCCCGCCUGGAGAAUGGAGGUGUUAAAAUUUAAAUUGUUAGAGUCAGGAGCCCGCCUGGAGAAUGGAGGCUGAUUUAUUUUUAAGAAGUUGUUGAAAUCAGGAGCCCUCCUGGAGAAUUGAGGCUGAUUUAUUUUUAAAAAGUUGUUAAAGUCAGGAACCCGCCUGGAGAAUGGAGGCUGAUUUAUUUUUAAGAAGUUGUCGAAGUCAGGAGCCCGCCUGUAGAACGGAGGUUGUAAAAUUUUAAGUUGUCAAAGUCAGGAGCCCGCCUGGAGAAUGGAGGUGUUAAAAUUUAAAUUGUUGAAGUCAGGAGCCCGCCUGUAGAACGGAGGUUUUUAAAUUUUAAGUUGGAGUCAGGAGCCCGCCUGGAGAAUGGAGGCUGAAUUAAAUUUUAAGAAGUUGAAGAAGUCAGGAGCCCGCCUGGAGAAUGGAGGCUGAAUUAAAUUUUAAGAAGUUGAAGAAGUCAGGAGCCCUCCUGGAGAAUGGAGGCUAAAUUAUUUUGAGAAAAGUUGUUGAAGUCAGGAGCCCGCCUGAGGAAUAGAGGCUUAUUUAUUUUAAGAAGUUGUCGAAGUCAGGAGCCCGCCUGGAGAACGGAGGCUAAAUUAUUUUUGGGAAAGUUGUAGAAGUCAGGAGCCCGCCUGGAGAACGGAGGCUAAAUUAUUUUGAGAAAAGUUGUUGAAGUCAGGAGCCCGCCUGGAGAAUAGAGGCUGAUUUAUUUUAAGAAGUUGUCGAAGUCAGGAGCCCGCCUGGAGAACGGAGGCUAAAUUAUUUUUAGGAAAUUUUUAGAAGUCAGGAGCCC
RNAcentral lists this long non-coding RNA (857 nucleotides) under Nicotiana tabacum (common tobacco). Its description in RNAcentral is "long non-coding RNA (NTAB_LNC008887)". The record is from RNAcentral. Lineage: Eukaryota; Viridiplantae; Streptophyta; Magnoliopsida; Solanales; Solanaceae.